UGGGGUUGCAAUAUGCUGGAGCUGGAUAUGAAUUUCCAUCAGGAUGCCCUGUAGACUUCCCAUGUGGAAAGCCAUAACCAUUUAAUGCAGGGCGUGGUUUAUUUCUAGCAUUACGUAGCCAUUCAUUAAAGAUCUUCUCUGCUCUCUCUUUCUUCUCUUGCAGCUCAGCUUGUCUUUCUUUUUCUUUUUCCUUCUCUUUCUUCUUCUUUUCUGACUCUUCAGCUCUCUUCUUCUUUAACCAUUCAUUAUACUUCACUUUGGCCUUCUCUUGUAACAGCAUUUUUUCUAGUUCCCUUGUGGCUUUCUCUGCCAUUUCUUUGCUCAAUUUUUGUUCUCUUUCCCUCCUUUCCUCUUCUCUUUUUUUUUGCAUCCAUUCUCUGAGCUUCUUUUCAGCUGUCCUUUUCCUUCUCUCAAAUUCUUCCUUUUGCUUCAUUUUCUCAAGCUGUAUAUACAUUUCCUGUGCAGCUCUAGCUUGUAAGCGGGCACGUAGUUCCUUCUCUUUUCCAAUGAACCAUUCUUCCCAUGCUGAAAGAUUAUCUUUCAAAGGGAAUUGCUUGUUUGCCUCUGUUAUUUCAGAUCCAUCAUCAUUCCUGCUCACUGC
Molecule: long non-coding RNA, 601 nt
Filed under: Gallus gallus (chicken)
Lineage: Eukaryota; Metazoa; Chordata; Aves; Galliformes; Phasianidae
Source: RNAcentral